GAUGAACGCUGGCGGCGUGCCUAAUACAUGCAAGUCGAGCGAACAGACGAGGAGCUUGCUCCUCUGACGUUAGCGGCGGACGGGUGAGUAACACGUGGAUAACCUACCUAUAAGACUGGGAUAACUUCGGGAAACCGGAUCUAAUACCGGAUAAUAUAUUGAACCGCAUGGUUCAAUAGUGAAAGACGGUUUUGCUGUCACUUAUAGAUGGAUCCGCGCCGCAUUAGCUAGUUUGUAAGGUAACGGCUUACCAAGGCGACGAUGCGUAGCCGACCUGAGAGGGUGGUCGCCCACACUGGAACUGAGACACGGUCCAGACUCCUACGGUAGGACGCAGUAGGGAAUCUUACGCAAUGGGCGAAAGCCUGACGGAGCAACGCCGCGUGAGUGAUGAAGGUCUUCGGAUCGUAAAACUCUGUUAUUAGUGAAGAACAAAUGUGUAAGUAACUAUGCACGUCUUGACGGUACCUAAUCAGAAAGCCACGGCUAACUACGUG
Molecule: ribosomal RNA, 497 nt
Filed under: uncultured bacterium
Lineage: Bacteria
Description: partial 16S ribosomal RNA
Rfam family: Bacterial small subunit ribosomal RNA
Source: RNAcentral